AUUGAACGCUGGCGGCAUGCUUUACACAUGCAAGUCGAACGGUAACAGGCCUUCGGGUGCUGACGAGUGGCGAACAGGUGAGUAAUGCAUCGGAACGUGCCCAGAGGUGGGGGAUAACGCAGCGAAAGCUGUGCUAAUACCGCAUGUGAUCUGAGGAUGAAAGCGGGGGACCAGGCAGCAAUGUUUGGCCUCGCGCCUUUGGAGCGGCCGAUGUCAGAUUAGGUAGUUGGUGGGGUAAAGGCCUACCAAGCCGACGAUCUGUAGCUGGUCUGAGAGGACGACCAGCCACACUGGGACUGAGACACGGCCCAGACGCCUACGGGAGGGAGCAGUGGGGAAUUUUGGACAAUGGGCGCAAGCCUGAUCCAGCAAUGCCGCGUGCGGGAAGAAGGCCUUCGGGUUGUAAACCGCUUUUGUACGGAACGAAAAGGCUCUGGCUAAUACCUGGGGCUGAUGACGGUACCGUAAGAAUAAGCACCGGCUAACUACGUG
RNAcentral lists this ribosomal RNA (492 nucleotides) under uncultured bacterium. RNAcentral describes it as "partial 16S ribosomal RNA". It matches the Rfam family "Bacterial small subunit ribosomal RNA", at positions 29 to 507 of the family's 1533-position model. The record is from RNAcentral.